RNAcentral lists this transfer RNA (73 nucleotides) under Cellulophaga phage Calle_1. Its description in RNAcentral is "tRNA-Lys". Lineage: Duplodnaviria; Heunggongvirae; Uroviricota; Caudoviricetes; Pervagoviridae. The record is from RNAcentral.
UGGGUUCGAUACCCAUGAGUUCCACAAUAAGAUCCCUUACUGACACCAAAUUGCCCUUGUAGCAAACAGGUUG